GACGAACGCUGGCGGCGUGCUUAACACAUGCAAGUCGAACGGAAAGGCCCUGCUUUUGUGGGGUGCUCGAGUGGCGAACGGGUGAGUAACACGUGAGUAACCUGCCCUUGACUUUGGGAUAACUUCAGGAAACUGGGGUUAAUACCGGACAGGAGACCCUCCUGCAGGGUGGGGGUUGGAAAGUUUCGGCGGUUGUGGAUGGACGCGCGGCUUAUCAGCUUGUUGGUGGGGUAGUGGUUUACCAAGGCUUUGACGGGUAGCCGGCCUGAGAGGGUGACCGGCGACAAUGGGACUGAGAGACGGCCCAGACUGCUACGGGAGGCAGCAGUGGGGAAUAUUGCACAAUGGGCGGAAGCCUGAUGCAGCAACGCUGCGUUCGGGAUGACGGCCUGCGGGUUGUAAACCGCUUUCGCCUGUGACGAAGCGGGAGUGACGGUAAUGGGUGAAGAAGCACCGGCUAACUACGUG
This 468-nucleotide ribosomal RNA is filed under the name uncultured bacterium. Its description in RNAcentral is "partial 16S ribosomal RNA". It matches the Rfam family "Bacterial small subunit ribosomal RNA", at positions 28 to 507 of the family's 1533-position model. The record is from RNAcentral.